AUUUCGCGUUAAGGAUAGUAGCGGCAUCCUUUUUUAAGUAUAAAAAAGAUAUAGCGUAUAGCCUGACUUUAA
RNAcentral lists this small RNA (72 nucleotides) under Bizionia paragorgiae. Its description in RNAcentral is "Flavo-1 RNA". It matches the Rfam family "Flavo-1 RNA". Lineage: Bacteria; Pseudomonadati; Bacteroidota; Flavobacteriia; Flavobacteriales; Flavobacteriaceae. The record is from Rfam by way of RNAcentral.